AAGAGUGAAACUCAAAGGAAUUGACGGGGGCCCGCACAAGCGGAGGAACAUGUGGUUUAAUUCGAUGAUACGCGAGGAACCUUACCUAGGCUUAAAUGGGGAGUGACAGGCUUGGAAACAGGCCCUUCUUCGGACACUCUUCAAGGUGCUGCAUGGUUGUCGUCAGCUCGUGCCGUGAGGUGUCGGGUUAAGUCCCAUAACGAGCGCAACCCACGUCGUUAGUUGCCAGCGAGUCAUGUCGGGGACUCUAACGAGACUGCCGGUGUAAACCGUGAGGAAGGUGUGGAUGACGUCAAAUCAGCACGGCCCUUACGCCUAGGGCUACACACGUGUUACAAUGGACGGUACAAAGGGCAGCUACUAGGUGACUAGAUGCUAAUCUCUAAAGCCGUUCACAGUUCGGAUUGAAGUCUGCAACCCGACUUCAUGAAGCUGGAUUCGCUAGUAAUCGCAUAUCAGCCACGAUGCGGUGAAUACGUUCCCGGGCCUUGUACACACCGCCCGUCAAACAAUGGAAGCUGGGGGUACCUGAAGUAUGUAACCGCAAGGAGCGUCCUAGGGUAAAACCGGUAACUGGUGUUAAGUCGUAACAAGGUAACC
Molecule: ribosomal RNA, 600 nt
Filed under: uncultured Bacteroides sp.
Lineage: Bacteria; Pseudomonadati; Bacteroidota; Bacteroidia; Bacteroidales; Bacteroidaceae
Description: partial 16S ribosomal RNA
Rfam family: Bacterial small subunit ribosomal RNA
Source: RNAcentral